Molecule: ribosomal RNA, 512 nt
Filed under: uncultured bacterium
Lineage: Bacteria
Description: partial 16S ribosomal RNA
Rfam family: Bacterial small subunit ribosomal RNA
Source: RNAcentral
GAUGAACGCUGGCGGCGUGCCUAAUACAUGCAAGUCGAACGAAACUUCUUUAUCACCGAGUGCUUGCACUCACCGAUAAAGAGUUGAGUGGCGAACGGGUGAGUAACACGUGGGCAACCUGCCCACAAGAGGGGGAUAACACUUGGAAACAGGUGCUAAUACCGCAUAACCAUAGUUACCGCAUGGUAACUAUGUAAAAGGUGGCUAUACUACCGCUUUUGGAUGGGCCCGCGGCGCAUUAGCUAGUUGGUAGGGUAAAGGCUUACCAAGGCAAUGAUGCGUAGCCGAAUUGAGAGGUUGAUCGGCCACAUUGGGACUGAGACACGGCCCAAACUCCUACGGGAGGCAGCAGUAGGGAAUCUUCCACAAUGGGCGAAAGCCUGAUGGAGCAACGCCGCGUGGGUGAAGAAGGUCUUCGGAUCGUAAAACCCUGUUGUUAGAGAAGAAAGUGCGUGAGAGUAACUGUUCACGUUUCGACGGUAUCUAACCAGAAAGCCACGGCUAACUACGUG